CGAAAGGGUUAGUAAUGGAUAGGUAACGUACCUCAAGCACUGGGAUAGCGUCAGAAAACUUCGGUUUUCAUCCGAAAGGGGCAGUAAUACCAGAUAAUAUCAUUUACUUGAUGUAAUUGAUCAAAGAUUUAUCGGCGUGAGAGCGGCCUAUCUCCUAUCAGCUAGUUGGUGAGGUAAAAGCUCACCAAGGCAACGACGGGUAGCGGGACUGAGAGGUUGACCCGCAACAUCGGGACUGAGACGCUGCCCGGACCUCCACGGAGGGCUGCAGUAACGAAUAUUGCGCAAUGGGCGAAAGCCUGACGCAGCGACGCCGCGUGUAGGAGGAAGUCCCUCGGGAUGUAAACUACUGUCAGGGGUAAGAAAGUGUGCUUAGGCACAUUGAUCUAACCCAGAGGAAGUCACGGCUAACUUCGUGCCAGCAGCCGCGGUAAGACGAAGGUGGCGAGCGUUGCUCGGUGUUACUGGGCUUAAAGCGUAUGUAGGCGGAAUGGUAAGCGUCUUGUGAAAUCCCUCAGCUUAACUGAGGAAUCGCUCGGCGAACUGUCAUUCUUGAGGCAAGUAGGGGUACAUGGAACUCUUGGUGGAGCGGUGGAAUGCGUAGAUAUCAAGAGGAACGCCGAUGGUGAAAACAGUGUACUGGGCUUGUCCUGACGCUGAGAUACGAAAGCGUGGGGAGCGAACGGGAUUAGAUACCCCGGGUAGUCCACGCCGUAAACGAUGUCUACUAGGUUG
RNAcentral lists this ribosomal RNA (735 nucleotides) under uncultured bacterium. RNAcentral's name for it is "bacterial SSU rRNA". It matches the Rfam family "Bacterial small subunit ribosomal RNA", at positions 99 to 823 of the family's 1533-position model. The record is from RNAcentral.